Molecule: long non-coding RNA, 1955 nt
Organism: Centrocercus urophasianus (Greater sage-grouse)
Lineage: Eukaryota; Metazoa; Chordata; Aves; Galliformes; Phasianidae
Exons: 3
Source: RefSeq, a predicted model, not a curated record
UGUAUUUGCAUGUUUGUUCUGAAGAGGUUCCCAUAGCCCGGCUCUGACUUUUAUCUAUCCCCACAGGAUGUACUCCUACACUUUUUCUUCCAGGGUCCCAUGCUUCCUGUGGGUGUUCCCACAGCUGCCAAUUCAGACAGCUUGGGUCUGUAAUAGGCUUUGCACAAUUUUGAAGAUGCUUUUCUCUCACUAAGUCAAGUGACUCCACACAUGCAUGCACACACACAUACACACACACACACAAAGGCAGAUGUUUAGCAUCAGGAAUCAAAACAGAAUUUUCGCACCACACAGCACAUUCUUCUCUUCCUGAUACCUUUCAUUUCCUCUCUACAGGAUAUGGAGCAAUUUUCCUCUUUUGCUGCUGCUCAUGUGAACUCAGGAAUCUGUGAAUUAUUCUAGGACAUCUGAAUUCCCAUGUAAUCUUCUCUGAGAGCUUCCUCCCCACUGCUCUGUUUGCCUUUUGCAACUUCCUAGGAGAGAAAUUUGUGAAAGAUGGGCUAUGCUUUAAAAAGGUGAAUCAUCAAACUCAAAUCCCAACAGCAGCACAACCACCUUGAAUGAAAAUUAAGUUUUUAACAUCUGAGAACCCAUACAGACUGCUCUCAUCAUGGACUUUCCAAGAAGAGAAGAAAUACAAACUAUAUUCUUAAAGCAUUACUCCUCUCCAAGUGGUGAGUUCUCAACAGUCAGUAGGCAACACAGAUUUCUCAUAUUAGAAGUGUAGCCACGUCAUCUGGUGAACUGAUUCAACUCUUCUGAACACUCAUCCAUUUUAAUACGUAUGUUGAAAGAAAUUAUUCUAAUGCUGUUCAACACUUGAGAUUAAGAUAAAAGUGCUUUCAGUAUUGGUUUAUUCAUUUAUUUAUUAUUUUAUUUUGAGUCUUCUUUCCCAUGUAAAAUAUUCUAGUUGAAUCUUUUCUGCUCUUCUCUAUUAAAGUUGUCACCUUUUCAAAUACUGGCUCUUUCACUAGUGUUCAUGGCUAAUGUGACAUGAGAAAGAGAAUAGAAUUUUAUCUGGCUUAGACAACAUAGCAGUUACAGUAACUUUUAAUUUCAGUAGAUGGUGAUAUUGUGAAUACAUCCUCAGCAAUAAACUCAGCUGGUUAUUUGGUCAACAGAAGUGCUAUACGGGCUGCUAAUUGCAACCCUAUGUUGGAUAUGGUUCCAAGUACAUGUUCUAAGUGUUAGCCCAGAAGGCAGUUUUCAAAGGAAAAAAGCUCUUCCAGAAAAUUCAGUUGUGAGGCUGGUGACUGAGACAAAAGGCACCAGAAACAACUUUAAAAAGCUGCGGUACCUCCUCUUCCUUCCUAAUCAUCUGGAUGUCUUUUUCCUCAGGGAGCAUUAGUGGGUAUUGACUAACAUAUUCAGACAAAAAGUAUGGAACAGAGACUCUGUGAACUACUCUUUGCAUUUAAGUUGAUCUUUGUGUAAAUCAACUAGGAAGGUAAUGGGGUCACACAUUUUACAAGAUGGGAAAAAAAUAUUACUAAAUAGCUAUGAUGCCACGGAAAGGGCAAAAGGUUAAGAAAAUGAUUAGCUUGAGGGAAGAGUCACAUAUACAGAGGGAUGGAAACACUUGGCUAAUAAGUGUGUGGCAUUCCUCUGCUGUGAUUUCAGAAUUCACAAUACCAACAAGCUUUUCUUUUCUUUUCUGAACUCAUCAGAAAGUCUACAUCCCCUAUAAUUAAAAAGGAAGAAAAUCAGUAGGAAAUGAUAAGGGUAUGGGAACUAGGAAGAAAUUUUGUACUAGUGAGCAUUACCACCAUUUAGUUGCAUGGACACAGCCCAGUGAGCAGAGUUCAAUAUUGUAAGUCACAAAACAAAUCCCUGCUUUUUCUUUGCAUGUUUGAAUAAAGUUUUCUCAGUUAUUUGAUGGGACUCUAUGCUGAUAUCAAAUAAAGGAAUGUAUCCUCCAUGACUUUGUUUCAAUCCUGUUUACUGCCAGCUAUGAG